GACGAACGCUGGCGGCGUGCUUAACACAUGCAAGUCGAGCGGUAAGGCCCUUUCGGGGGUACACGAGCGGCGAACGGGUGAGUAACACGUGGGUGACCUGCCCUCAGCUCUGGGAUAAGCCUGGGAAACCGGGUCUAAUACCGGAUAUGACUCCAUGACGCAUGUUGUGGGGUGGAAAGCCUUGUGCGGCUGAGGAUGGGCCCGCGGCCUAUCAGCUUGUUGGUGGGGUGAUGGCCUACCAAGGCGACGACGGGUAGCCGGCCUGAGAGGGCGACCGGCCACGCUGGGACUGAGACACGGCCCAGACUCCUACGGGAGGCAGCAGUGGGGAAUCUUGCGCAAUGGGACGAAAGCCUGACGCAGCGACGCCGCGUGAGGAUGAC
This 383-nucleotide ribosomal RNA is filed under the name uncultured bacterium. RNAcentral's name for it is "bacterial SSU rRNA". It matches the Rfam family "Bacterial small subunit ribosomal RNA", at positions 28 to 412 of the family's 1533-position model. The record is from RNAcentral.